RNAcentral lists this long non-coding RNA (262 nucleotides) under Mytilus galloprovincialis (Mediterranean mussel). Lineage: Eukaryota; Metazoa; Mollusca; Bivalvia; Mytilida; Mytilidae. The record is from RNAcentral.
ACGAAUUAUUGUAAUAUUUAAGUACCUGUAUUUUACAGUACUUGAUUUGUACUUGAAAUUUAAGUACUACAUAUUUUUGGUUGCACAAUUACAUUUUCAGCAUUUUGUUUGUCUUUUUUCAAAUCUCAUGAAGUUAUGAUGUUCAAACAUGGAAUACUGUGAUCAUUGUUGGUAUCAUUUUUGUACCAAUAUUUUGAGUACAAAUAAAGUACUGGAAAAUACAAGUACCUAAAUAUUACAAUUAUUUUAAAGUAAAGAAAUA